GAUGAACGCUGGCGGCGUGCUUAACACAUGCAAGUCGAACGAAGCACCUUAUUCUGAUUUCUUCGGAAUGAAAAAUUUGGUGACUGAGUGGCGGACGGGUGAGUAACGCGUGGGUAACCUGCCUCAUACAGGGGGACAACAGUUAGAAAUGACUGCUAAUACCGCAUAAGACCACAGCACCGCUUGGUGCAGGGGUAAAAACUCCGGUGGUAUGAGAUGGACCCGCGUCUGAUUAGGUAGUUGGUGGGGUAACGGCCUGCCAAGCCGACGAUCAGUAGCCGACCUGAGAGGGUGACCGGCCACAUUGGGACUGAGACACGGCCCAAACUCCUACGGGAGGCAGCAGUGGGGAAUAUUGCACAAUGGGGGAAACCCUGAUGCAGCGACGCCGCGUGAGCGAUGAAGUAUUUCGGUAUGUAAAGCUCUAUCAGCAGGGAAGAAAAUGACGGUACCUGACUAAGAAGCACCGGCUAAAUGCGUGCCAGCCGCCGCCGUAA
Molecule: ribosomal RNA, 497 nt
Filed under: uncultured bacterium
Lineage: Bacteria
Description: partial 16S ribosomal RNA
Rfam family: Bacterial small subunit ribosomal RNA
Source: RNAcentral